Etheostoma spectabile (orangethroat darter) is the source of this 558-nucleotide long non-coding RNA. RefSeq lists it as uncharacterized. The transcript has 3 exons. The record is from RefSeq and is a predicted model, not a curated record. NCBI's taxonomy places the organism in Eukaryota, Metazoa, Chordata, Actinopteri, Perciformes, Percidae.
CACUUGAUUUAUUCACUCAAAAAUGAUUUGACUUAUAAAAUUUAAGAAAGCAUAACAUUUAUUUUAAGGCUGAUAUCAAUUUAGCUUAAAAUAGUACUUUUGUGCUUGACUUCGGUUUUUUAACUGUCUUCGUGAAACAACUUAAAAGAGGAAUCUAUCAAUGGGACGAUUUUCACAACUAAGAUAAUUCACUUCUUUAUUCAGUUUGAAAACCUAACCGUUACAACCCCACACCAGUAGGGGGCCGCUGCUCUGAGCAGACCGAUUCCCCCGUUAGAAGAAGAGAAAGCCACAGGACGGACCACGCGGCUCAGCUCACGGAGAGAUGAAUCCGGAUGGAGACAUUUGAGGAGAAGAUGGAUUAUCUGCUCAUGCUCUACAGGAGCUCCAUGUCACCUCGCUCUGCUCCAAAUCACAGCGUGCCAUUUGCCCAACAGCAGCUGGGCCAAAUAUCCAGUUAAAAAAAUAUGGCUGUGUACAGAUUCCUACGCCAAAGCUGUGGACCGGUGUCGGCGGCUGAGGGACACCAGCAUCCAGACAGAAGAUGAAGCAAGUGUC